GAUGAACGCUGGCGGCGUGCCUAAUACAUGCAAGUCGAGCGAACAGACGAGGAGCUUGCUCCUCUGACGUUAGCGGCGGACGGGUGAGUAACACGUGGAUAACCUACCUAUAAGACUGGGAUAACUUCUGGAAACCGUAGCUAAUACCGGAUAAUAUAUUUAACCGCAUGGUUCAAUAGUGAAAGACGGUUUUGCUGUCACUUAUAGAUGUAUCCGCGCCGCAUUAGCUAGUUGGUGAGGUAACGGCUUACCAAGGCGACUAUCAGUAGCUGACCUGAGAGGAUGAACAGCCACACUGGAACUGAGACAAGGUCCAGACUCCGACGGAAGGCAGAAGGGGGGAAUAUUGGAGAAUGGACGCAAGCCGGAUCCAGCCAUACCGCGUGAGUGAAGAAGGCCUUAGGGUGUUAAAGCCCUUUUGUUGGGAAAGAAAAGCAGCAGGUGAAUACCCCGCUGUUCUGACGGUACCCAAAGAAUAAGCAACGGCUAACUUCGUG
This 497-nucleotide ribosomal RNA is filed under the name uncultured bacterium. RNAcentral's name for it is "partial 16S ribosomal RNA". It matches the Rfam family "Bacterial small subunit ribosomal RNA", at positions 28 to 507 of the family's 1533-position model. The record is from RNAcentral.